Molecule: ribosomal RNA, 428 nt
Filed under: uncultured Chlamydiae bacterium
Lineage: Bacteria; Pseudomonadati; Chlamydiota; Chlamydiia
Description: bacterial SSU rRNA
Rfam family: Bacterial small subunit ribosomal RNA
Source: RNAcentral
AACGCGAAGAACCUUACCCAGGCUUGACAUACACGAGACAGCAUCAGAAAUGGUGCCUCCCUUCGGGGCUCGUGAACAGGUGCUGCAUGGCUGUCGUCAGCUCGUGCCGUGAGGUGUUGGGUUAAGUCCCGCAACGAGCGCAACCCUUGUCAUUAUUUGCCAGCACGUAACGGUGGGAACUUUAAUGAGACUGCCUAGGUCAACUAGGAGGAAGGUGAGGAUGACGUCAAGUCCGCAUGGCCCUUAUGCCUGGGGCUACACACGUGCUACAAUGGUCGGUACAAUGGGCAGCAAAACCGCGAGGUGAAGCAAAUCCACCAAAACCGGCCCCAGUUCAGAUUGUAGUCUGCAACUCGACUACAUGAAGUCGGAAUUGCUAGUAAUGGCGUGUCAGCUACAACGCCGUGAAUACGUUCCCGGGCCUUGUA